UACGAAGGGGGCUAGCGUUGCUCGGAAUCACUGGGCGUAAAGCGCACGUAGGCGGCUUCUUAAGUCAGGGGUGAAAUCCUGGAGCUCAACUCCAGAACUGCCUUUGAUACUGAGGAGCUUGAGUCCGGGAGAGGUGAGUGGAACUGCGAGUGUAGAGGUGAAAUUCGUAGAUAUUCGCAAGAACACCAGUGGCGAAGGCGGCUCACUGGCCCGGUACUGACGCUGAGGAGCGAAAGCGUGGGUAGCAAACAGG
This 253-nucleotide ribosomal RNA is filed under the name uncultured bacterium. RNAcentral's name for it is "partial 16S ribosomal RNA". It matches the Rfam family "Bacterial small subunit ribosomal RNA", at positions 524 to 776 of the family's 1533-position model. The record is from RNAcentral.